GACGAACGCUGGCGGCGUGUCUAAUACAUGCAAGUCGAACGCAGCGGGGACGGGUGAGUAACACGUGGGUAACCUCCCAUCAGAGGGGAUAACACUUGGAAACAGGUGCUAAACCGAUACUGAUGGAUGAACCCGCGGUGCAUUAGCUAGUUGGUGAGGUAACGGCUCACCAAGGCCACGAUGCAUAGCCGACCUGGGCGGGUGAUCGGCCACACUGUGCCUGAGACCCGGCCCAGACUCCUACGGGAGGCAGCAUUAGGGAAUCUUCGGCAAUGGACGAAAGUCUGACCGAGCAACGCCGCAUGAGUGGAGAAGGUUUUCGGGUCGUAAGACUCUGUUGUUAAGAGAGCGGUAGCUAACCAGAAAGCCACGGCUAACUACGUGCCAGCAGCCGCGGUAAUUC
Molecule: ribosomal RNA, 403 nt
Filed under: uncultured bacterium
Lineage: Bacteria
Description: partial 16S ribosomal RNA
Rfam family: Bacterial small subunit ribosomal RNA
Source: RNAcentral